Long non-coding RNA from Oreochromis aureus, 413 nucleotides. RefSeq lists it as uncharacterized. The record is from RefSeq and is a predicted model, not a curated record. The transcript is spliced from 3 exons. NCBI's taxonomy places the organism in Eukaryota, Metazoa, Chordata, Actinopteri, Cichliformes, Cichlidae.
GUAGCCGGAAACACGUGACCUCCACAGUAACCGGAAACACGUGACCUCCACAGUAACCGGAAACACGUGACCUCCACAGUAGGCAGAAAUACGUUCCUGCGUGGAUCAUCGACUGCGGAAAUCUUGCAAGUGGAUCGUAAAGAUGCUCAUAUCAAUUUGGAGUUCUGCCUCCAAGCCAGAAUUGCAGUAAUGCACCACGUGUUGGCUGUUUCACUGCCCUCUGUGCCCCACUUUCAGCCCUAUUGUCAGGAGCAUAUAAAUGGACACAUUAAAAAUGCUUUGCCUUUCAAAGACAAAAUGAUAUGCCGGUGCACUUUCACUGCCCUGUCUGUACAUGACAGUCAUACAGCGUGGGGAUAUGGCAAGGCAAUUAUUGUCAUGUCAGCAUUCAGGACUGCUCUUCGCUGCACUCU